GAGGUUGGGCCCAGAUUGACAGUUCUUCGGCUUCUUGGGCUGGGCCUACUCUGACCGCUCCCGCCCCACCACCGAUUCUCUUCCUCCGCUCCGUUCCCCACCUCCGUUGGUGCGUCCACCGAGGCGGCCGGGUCGGUUCGCCUCCGCCGCGGUCGAUCAAUGAAUCCAUGCCGGCCUCGUGGCCUGGUUCCUUGCUCUCCUUAUUCUAGGAAUGUGCAACUGAGUGACUGCUGAGCUGUAGAUAAAUGUGAGGAGUUGAGGACAUUAUUUACAAACAAAUGGUAUGUAGUAUUCCAGAUCUGAAGAACUAGACGGAGCAUAUACAACAGAAGUGAUAGUAUAUGAAUAGUAAGGAUUUUCUCCAACAAAAAUUCUUCCAUAAUCUCUAGAUCUAUCACAUUAAGUUAUGUCACAUGUUUUGCUGAAAGCAAUAGUAACAGACUCAUAGUGUCCUUCUGGAAGAAUAUGUCCUGAAGUAAACUAAUGUAAAAGUCAACCUUUGUAAUUAAUUCGAGCUUAGUAGUGGUCUUGUAGUGACAGUACUUUAGUACUUUAUUCUCAUGACUUCUUGUGCUUACUAAGCUUUGGCAGUAAGCUUUUAAUUUGCAUCUUCCAGCAGAAGCUAUAUGUUAGAGUCAAUUUGUUCUAACUGUAAACCAUCAAAAUAACUCAUAACUGUAUCUGGUAAUACACAAACUAAAAAUUCUUGUUACUCUGUUUGAAAUAUCGUUAUUUACUGUAGUUGUUUCUGGUGUUAUAAUGUAAUAAAAAAGACAGAUCCAGUAUCAGUGGCUUCCACAUGCGUGAAGUUUAGGCGAAGGAAUAACCGAGGCAAGCUUUGCCCUGUAUCUUGCAGAGAGACUACACUGACUGAAUCUAGGACUUCUGGAUUAAUGGAAAGGCUUCUCACCACUUUGUUAGACUUGUCCUUCUCUGGUGUUAUACUGUCAUCUGAUAAAAUAAUUCAAUAGCAAGCUAAGCAACAGUAUACUUCAUACAUGGCAGAGCUCAACUUUGACUUCUCAGGGCUUAAAAUUGAAUUUAUAUGACAUAGCUUGUUUCAUUUCAGAUCAUCUGUUUUUCUUAAGUCAUCGCUUGUUUGAUUGGGUUUUCAGUUAGCAACAUCAUAGUUAGCAGCCCAAGAUUAAGAAUUGUAGUAUCUUCUGAAGAUUAAGACCUCAGUCAUUCUCCGAAAGUAUCAAUACUUGGAAGUAUGAAACUGUAGAUCAUGAACACAGUGUUUCGUCAAUGUUUUUUGAACAACUUAUGUUAUGUGCUUGAUUUUUAAAGGAGUCAGUUGACAACCAGUGUUCAUUUCUUUUCAGCUUUAAUAGUAAAUAACUGAUCAUUAGGUGCAAUUUUCUAUUCAAGCAACCAUGUUACAUGAUCAGUUGGUAUUUAUGGCACAUCAAUUUUGUUAGUUGCGAUGCUAGCAUUCUGAACUGUGUCAUCAUGGUUUGCUUUUAGAACUAUUAUACAUAGAUAAUAAUUGAUUUGGAGAACACUUCAAUUCCUGUAACAAACACGCAAGUUACGCUAGCAUGUCAUGUCAUGUGCUUAUUAAUUCAAAAACAAUAAUUGUGUGCAUGAACAAUAGAUCUGUACGGAUUGUUUCAAUCGUCAAAUCAUGAAGCAUCCGCUGCCGUGAUGGAAAUGCAUUGCAUUAUUCAUUUCCGAUUCUUUGACAUCAUACAUUCUAUACGUGUAUCCUUACUGUUUUUUAUUAAAAGUGGUGAUUAUAUAGAUCAAAAUAUAAGUAGUGCCGAUAUCAUCAUUUGUUGUCAGCUAACGGAUCAUUCCUUGUGCCUUCUAAAUAUGAUUGAAAUUGUCAAUAGCAAAAUGUUGAAUACCUAGCUAUUGAAAAUUUGCAUUGUCAAGGUUUCACGCAACAUAAAGAUGUGGUGCUAUUUUUUUUAGUUCUGUUCAUUUUUCAUAGCAAAGUUUGGAGUACUUUUAUUUUGUUCCCCUUUAUUCACCUUAAUCUAUGCAGAUUUAUUAUCUAUUUAUAUGCAGUAAUAACUAAAAACGACUGUGCUGCUAUGUUAUAAAAUGAUUCUUUGUACAAGUUAUUUAAUCUAUCAUCACAAUUUAUAUAAGGUAAUUUAUGGUCAUAUAGUCAUGUCUGUCAGAUACAGUAGUCAUUUCCUCUUUUGGCAUAUGAUAUUUGGUUCUUCAAUAGAGAACCAAUGAUAUGUAUACUUAUUAACCAGUCAUGGCUGCCGCUAGGCCGCUAGUACUUUGUUUACUUAGGAUUGAUUUUGAAGAAGAUUGGCAAUGCAAGUAAGCUUCCAACAGGUCUGAGCAUAUAAAAUGGACUUGAUGCAUCACUCUUUUUAGAAAGGUAAAACCUGAGCUCACCAAACACUUUCUAGCUCUGCCUUGAGGGAAGAAUAGCACCAUUGAAAGGACAAUGCAAACACCAAACAAAAAGGGCGAAGCGCAGCAAAGGGGCCGGAAAAGAAGUCCUCAACGAUUUUCUGUUAAUUGAAUGAUAUGGCAUCCUAGAGUUUGUUGAGAAACAUAGGUGCCAUUAUAUUUGUCUGAAGUCCCAAAGCUCUCAAUCUAUUAUGCCUACAAGGCUAGCUGCAUAUGCAUCAUUAGCCACUUACACUUCAAUUAUUCGUGACUAAGAAUUCAGGAAUCUUUUUCUUGAUUAUAUAGACUUCUGUACAAUCUGUCUCCCUUCUCUUAUUUACUUGGUUGAAAAGACCAAUAAUGGAUAAGAAUCUAUUAUUUGAGAGGUUAAGAUGUGAUCACAUAAGUCCCUGUAAUUGUUGCUCCUUGCUAACGUUCACUUAAUGAGAAAAAAUACUAAUAACAUAAAAUUUCUGCCACUUUACUUCACUCAUUGCUCAUUGAAGUAAAAAAUGUUGUGG
Molecule: long non-coding RNA, 2876 nt
Filed under: Zea mays
Lineage: Eukaryota; Viridiplantae; Streptophyta; Magnoliopsida; Poales; Poaceae
Description: drought responsive lncRNA
Source: RNAcentral